RNAcentral lists this ribosomal RNA (252 nucleotides) under uncultured Bacteroidales bacterium. RNAcentral's name for it is "partial 16S ribosomal RNA". It matches the Rfam family "Bacterial small subunit ribosomal RNA", at positions 524 to 776 of the family's 1533-position model. Lineage: Bacteria; Pseudomonadati; Bacteroidota; Bacteroidia; Bacteroidales. The record is from RNAcentral.
UACGGAGGAUGCGAGCGUUAUCCGGAUUUAUUGGGUUUAAAGGGUGCGCAGGCGGAAGAUCAAGUCAGCGGUAAAAUUGAGAGGCUCAACCUCUUCGAGCCGUUGAAACUGGUUUUCUUGAGUGAGCGAGAAGUAUGCGGAAUGCGUGGUGUAGCGGUGAAAUGCAUAGAUAUUACACAGAACACCGAUUGCGAAGGCAGCUUGCUAGGCCGGAUCUGACACUGAUGCACGAAAGCGUGGGGAUCGAACAGG